This 839-nucleotide long non-coding RNA is filed under the name Setaria italica (foxtail millet). RNAcentral describes it as "long non-coding RNA (SITA_LNC001351)". The record is from RNAcentral. Lineage: Eukaryota; Viridiplantae; Streptophyta; Magnoliopsida; Poales; Poaceae.
AUAUUUUUCUCCUUAUUUUAAACCUUUUAUUUUGGUAUGUGUUGCAUUAGGGAAUGAAUAAAUGAUAGAGUAAAGAUAGGCAAUUUUAAUUAGUGAUAUGCCCUAAAUGUAUUCACAAACUAAUAAUACGUAUAUCCCUUUUAGAAUAUUUAUUUCUCUUAGAAAUACUAGUCCGUGUAGUAAGCAUGGGUUGAUGGGCCAAUAACCAUAAAAAAAAGUCACCGAAUACAACUUUACUACUCCACAUCCAAAACACUUGCAUUCGAUCACCUAAACAUUUGUCUCUACUCCCAUGACCUGCACAGAUCACACAUUGUGGCGUGUGCAGCUAGACUGAUAAACUACUAUGUUAUUUGUAACCUGCCAAUGGCAGCUAAACAAAUCGAGCCGGCUUGUGGCAGGCACAGGCAUGCAAAUUAAAGGUGCCGUCGAAAGAUCAGUUGAGAGAAACAGCGCACGGGACAGGGAGUCUAUCCUGGACGGGAUUGUGGGAAAGGAUGGAGCUUUUCAGUACGAAAAAAUAGCUUUGACACAUGUUGUCUCCUCUUGUUGUCACCAAAUGCCCCGGUUAUUCCUUUUCAGAUACCAAAAGGGCUCCUCGCUGAUUGCCUAUCUAUAUUCUAAAGCCAUCUCGUCCCUGAGGAGCAGGGCAUCAUGGCUUGAAAGAAUUUAAUGGCGACCUGCAAAGAAAGAUGAUAAGAAAUGUCAGAAAUAAUUCGAGAUGGUAAGAAACGAUAGAAAUAAUUGGAACUGAGUAAUUACCAUUACUGGAUGCAGAAAAGAUUCUGCUAAGCCAUGGUUACUGAAGUUCAACGAGGAAAGCAUGUGUUGUAGAUGCU